GCGUUUGAGAAAUCCCCCACAAACGCAGUUCAGAGCACCCAGGUCUGCGGCCUGUGGCUCCAGAACAUUGAUUUUUUUCUCCUUCGCCUCACGAGAAAAUCCUCCCAACUUCUCUAAUUGAAGAAGCGCUGGGGUGUCUGCACCUGACCCUGAGAGAAAAACCUCAGCUUUAAAUGUUCCUGAUUACAGGUUGUCCGCGCUCAUGUCACAUGCAGACACGCACUUGUCAAACAACAUACGCGGCGUGGAAGACAGAGGCUGGGAGAAGAGCUGGGCCUGGGUCGUCUGGUGGGCUGUCAGCAGCUGACUGCUCUGACCUCAUCCCUACAACAUUAGGCAGAAUGAAGUUGACCAGAGUGGAAUGUGAUAAAAUGAGCAAAUGACCCAGUCGACCAGCAUAACCACAGAGGGAAAAGAAGACGAGAACAGAGAGAAAGCAGCACCGUGUGAAAGUGCUGGAUGAGCCUAUUGAAUCAGCAGGUUGGCGUGGCGACGGCGGCCUGUAUUUCCACCUUCCAGCUUGACUGUUGGGUCCAAGGCCGGGCAGCGAGGGGGGAGAUCAAUGGUGCGGGGCAAAGCCACGAGAUGGAGAGACCUGUCAGGCCUGAAUUAGAUGUUAAAUCUUUUGGACAAAAUGUAUUGUGUUAAGAAUUUAUCAUGUGCUGUUUCCUGCGAGAUGAUGUAUAGAAAAGAUUUGUCGGCGGGCACAGUCAGAAUCUGCUGUUUCAGGGCUAAAGUGGUUGUCAGGCAACACAUGAUAGAUUUUUAUCUGCACCUCCUCGGUCUCCCUCCGCCUCUCUCCCACACCCCUCCCCCCAUUUCUCUCUCUCACCCCUCUACCUUUUCUCAUUUUUUACCCUCUCUGUUUCUCUCUCUUCUGUUGUCUCCUGUUCUCAUUCCCAUGUCCCCAUAAACAUUGCCAUGUGCUCAAAAUGCUCAUUUACUUUCCUUAGCAGGAGGUGUGAUGUCAUCACACUUGAAUUGAUAGUGUAGUUGUCUCCCUGGGUGAUGUCACUCUGAGGGGUCUGCUUCGAGGAAUGGGAACCAGACCCCAUUGGGGAACCCAGCCAGAACAAAAGCCCAGUUGUGCAGUAAGGCUAACAGAAGCCAUAUCAGGCAUUAUCCUAUGCACGCAAGGUCUAUUGGUGAUCAUUUGCUUUCAGCCUACUGUUGUGUGAGGAAGAUUGCCCAGUGACUGGCGGGCUGCAUGAGGUGGUGCUUAUGCUCCAGAUCUGUGUCUGCUCAGGGCAGAUGCAGCUCAGGCCAGUUUACAUGACACUAUUAUUUAUGAUAAUUAUAAUGAUUAUUAUAUGGACAGAAUUUUUAAUUACUUAUUUAAUGCCUCUUCAUUGACAAAUUUUCAUGUGAAGUUGAUUUGUUAUUUAUGAUGUGUCAUAAGCAAUGUGUCCUCUUCACUUUCCCCCAAUGGAAGAAUUGCUCCCUUUCCUUUCUAACUUAUGAACAGUGUCCACUUCCCUCUCAUCUCUUGUGGACUGAAUGUCCUCUUCUCUCUCAUCUCUAAUAGACAGAAUGUCCCCUUCUCUCUCAUCUCUAAUGGACAAGUUGUCCUUUUCUCUCUCAUCUGUACAGGUUGACAGGUUGUCUCUCUCCUGUGUUACAGGCUGACCCCCCUCUCUUAUGCACAGAGUGUCCCCUCCCUCGGUGUGUUGCCAGGACACUAUGCAGGGGUUUGUGGGCUGGAAUUACAAAAAACUCCUGGCAGACCCUGUGACUCUGCUGCCCGGGGCACUGCUUCUAGACCGGAAGAAUUUGAGGAAUGCCCCGUAAAUCCCUUUUCCCCUCUCCCUUGGCAACAGGCAUGGCCAGCACUGCUUACAUGGGGUCCCCCAUACCCCUGUUCCACUUGAAAAUGGGUAUAAUACUGUCCUCACACUGCCCUUCUCUGGCUUUCUGCUCUCCAGCCUUUUGGAAGCAAUGAUGUUGAUUAAUCUAACUAUUUCUUCCUGUCAGAGACCAAAAAAAUAAAUCCUGCUUCAGUAUACAUUCAUGCAACUUUUUGUCAUACAAUAUAUAGAUAAUUGAAAAAUAAUAGUAAUGUUUCCUUUUCUGAUAAAAAUUCAACCCCAGACUAAAACGCAAAGAAUUUUAAUUAUCUUUUCGUAUCAAAUACACACUCAGAUUGUGCAGCUGUGGGCGGUGUAUUUGUCAGUGGUGAGACCGUUUGCCGGGUGUGUGGAUGUGUCUGCUGAGUGUGUUUGCGGAGUGCGUGCUGUGAGGGAGGCAGACAUCUGGCCGCUGUGUCAGGCUGUGUUUGCUCAGAGGCUGUUACGCUGGUGAGAGGACGCUGAUCUGCGUAGCGUUGGCCUCUCUGACCUCCCGGAGCAGGAGAGGUGCCUGGCAGUCAAGCCCCCACCCCCGUGCCUGUGGCUGCUGUGUCACCGGGGGGUCAGCAAGGGGCAGGUCAGAGCUUUCUGCCCCUGUACGCCCGCUUGUGUGUUUGUGUGGGUGCGUGUGUGUGCGAGAGGUGGCGAGAAAAAGGAAACCUCUUUCACACAUUGUCAGAGAUGGAAAUAAAGAGAAAAAUAAAUUUUAAAAACUGCUCCCAGUGAUCGAGAGAUUUACAGAGGGAACAGUGUGUUCCCCUCCAUUGUCGGGAAUGAAGGAAGUCACAGUUUCCGUGGUGACUGCUGUACCCACCCCCCAAUUCUACCCUUAUUCUCAAGGACCCCUGGAAAGAUUACCUGAUUAGAAAGCCCCGAUAACAGGUUAGACACAAGAAAGGAGCACUUCGGUCCCUGAGCAAAGUCCACUGCAGCAAUUAAAGCAGAGAUGAAAGAAUACAAGAUGGCUGAUAAAUAAUUGACUCUUUCCUGAAGUGCAGGGAGGGGGGCGAGGCGCUUGUGCCGGGUUACAUAACCGCACAGGGGGAGCUAAUGGAUGGGCCAAGGUCCUGUGUGGUGGCACCAGGCCCAGACGAGGCAGGAGUCACCGCUGCAGUGGUCACAUUGGUCAAGGCUGCUCUCUGUCCGAGCCGCACUUACGGGGGCCGGUAAUGGCUGAGAGGUUCCGUAAAACACCGGCUGAUGGCUGCUGUCUCCAGCCCCGGCGUAAAGCAAUAUUCUCAGAGGAGCCAUCCGCCCAAAUGUAUUUAAAUGUAUUCUGGUAAUUACAAAUCUCUACACACAAACUGCAGCGCCGCUCUUUGGCUUUGCAACAGGAGACGUUUUGUAGCACAACUGUACUGAGAUAAUUACAUGGUUCUACU
This is a long non-coding RNA of Anguilla anguilla (European eel), 3226 nucleotides long. RefSeq lists it as uncharacterized. The transcript is spliced from 4 exons. The record is from RefSeq and is a predicted model, not a curated record. NCBI's taxonomy places the organism in Eukaryota, Metazoa, Chordata, Actinopteri, Anguilliformes, Anguillidae.